GUAAUCACGUGGCGUAUGCGGAAGUGUUUUUGUUUUGAGAACAGAAGCGUGGAAGCAGGUGAAGUGACGGGAAAUAUCCGAUCCGCAAAAUUAAAGAAAGGUGGGAAAGUGACCCAGAUGAGAUCAGCUGCAGAUGAGGCCAGAAGGCUGAUCCAGCUAAUGCACAUGUGCGUUCUCGAGUUGACUGACAGGUGAUUUCUAUAUUUGAAAGGACAGUGGGAAGGAUCUUGCUCUUCCUUUGGUUGAUUCUCAUGCACAGCACUUGAUUCAGAAGCGUAUUGCUAUAGAGAAGCUCAGCAGAAGUUUGAGAGAUGGCAUAGUGUCUAACAACGGGUGAUGUCAUCUAUGACAUCAGUAAUUUGGUCAGGACUUUCAGGUUUACAAACACAAAUAUAAUUCACAAAAACCCUGAAUGAACUAUAAUUGCAGUGGUUCUUCUGUCCGUGUUAACGGGAAUAUCUCCAUUGCUGAGAGAGACUUUGGCAAGUCCAUGUUCGGUGGAGUACAUUUCCUCUCUCUUUAGAGAGCUGAAACUGGAGGACAAAGAUCUGCACAGCCUUGUGCUGCACUUUAAACCCCAAAUCACUCUACAAACAUAAUGUAUUGCACACACAUUCAGAUUAACUCUUUAUAAUAAAAGCCUAUCUGUAACAAACGGUCGGGCAUCAUUUGUUUUCAGUAUUUUAAACUACACUUGACUGAUAUUAGAUUGAAGUCAUUUAUACUGUCUGGUACCCUCAAUGAUUUCUUUUUCUUUUUUUAUUUGACAUUGUCAUGAGUACUCAACUAAUUUUGAUCCAGAAUAUCAGUGCUUAAAACCUCUUUAAACGGACAAUAAGUUAGUUUUAGUUUGACUAAUUGUUUUACUUCAAUUUUAAUAAAUGUUAUGUAGGAUUAAAGAUAUCGGAAAACUUUGAUCCCCCUUAAAGGAAUAUUCCGGUUUCAAUACAAGUUAAGCUCAGUCGACAGCAUUUGUGACAGUACUGAUUGUUCCUCCUUUUCUUUAAAAAAAAGCAAAAAGUUACAGUGAGGCACUUACAAUGGAAGUGAAUGGGGCCAAUCAGUAAACGUUAAAAUACUCUCUGUAUCAAAAGUAUAGCCACAAGAUGCAAACCAUUUGUAUGAUAAAAUCACUUACUAAUCUUUUCUGUAUAAAGUUAUAGCCAAAUUUACAGCUUUGUUGCCAUGAUGAUGUAAUGUCAACAAACCUAAAAAUAUAUUUAAAAAUGACAAUUUGAACAACUUUACAGCUCAAAUAAUACAUGAGUUUUAAUGGAAGAAAUAUUGUAAGUGCUUUUAUAAAUUUAUAAGCUUCACAUUUCUGUUUAAACCCUCCAAAAAUUGGCCCCAUUCACUUCCAUUGUAAGUCUCACUGUAACUUUGAGUUUUGCUUUUUUUAAAGAAAAAAUCAAAAUUAUUUUUUGUGGUAAUCAACAUUAUGCCAUAAAUUCUAUUGCUUGAGCUUAACUUGUAUUGAACCUGGAAUAUUCCUUUGAGGAUUAGUAGCCUAAUGUAUUUCUAUGUAUGUAUGUUCAUGAAAUUUAUAUUAUAAAUAUAUGCAAUUGCACUGUAAAUAUAAAUGUAAUUGUUGUUAUUGUACAGAGUGAGCUAUUUUAUUUUAUUUUUUUAAAUGCACAUCAAACUUUCAUAACUAACUAAUUUCUGCAAGCGAUAUGAAAUUGCUACAUGUGAAAUGCACAAACUAAUGUUAUUAAACAGUU
Myxocyprinus asiaticus (Chinese sucker) is the source of this 1721-nucleotide long non-coding RNA. RefSeq lists it as uncharacterized. The record is from RefSeq and is a predicted model, not a curated record. The transcript has 7 exons. NCBI's taxonomy places the organism in Eukaryota, Metazoa, Chordata, Actinopteri, Cypriniformes, Catostomidae.